RNAcentral lists this transfer RNA (76 nucleotides) under Dehalococcoidia bacterium. Its description in RNAcentral is "tRNA-Ala". It matches the Rfam family "tRNA". Rfam says of the family: Transfer RNA (tRNA) molecules are approximately 80 nucleotides in length. Lineage: Bacteria; Bacillati; Chloroflexota; Dehalococcoidia. The record is from RNAcentral. RNAcentral also lists the same sequence under 1 other name.
GGCGACGUAGCCAAGUGGUCAAGGCUGGGGGCGUGCACGACCCUAAUCGGUGGUUCGAAUCCGCCCGUCGCCGCCA